AUCUUCUGGCGGCUUCCAGAUGUACUGCUCCCCGUUGCCCAUGAACACGGCCUCCUAGUAAACAAUCAAUCAAUUGGAGAGUUUGGGUAGGUACACAGUGACCAUGUUGCACAGUGCGGGCGGAUUGUGCAUGUGUGUGCAUGCAUGACAGAGAGAGAGAGAGAGAGAGAGAGUGCAUCACACAUUUGUUAUGAAGGGUAGCUUUCAUGUCAAGAUUCAAACAAAUGAAUCAGCAAGUGGCACCGUCAAAAAGAGAGUGGGCGUUGGAAAUUAUCCCUGCAGCCAGCUCCUAACUGGAAUCAGAUGCUACUGACAUCUUAUUGCAUUUCAUUUGUUGCCACAGCUUUAUGUUUUUGUUGCUAUUAAGAGUUUUCUUUCAAAUUGAACUUUAUAUCUUUUGAAAAAUAACUGCUAUACAAAAUUAAAUACUACUUUAAUUACUGUAUGUCUUAUGUCAAGGAAUGUCAGCUCAGUUUGAAUUUUCAGCAACAGUUAAUCAGUUCCUCCUUGCUUUGAGACCAACUUUUCCACAAGGUUUUAUGCAAAUCUGUUUCGUCAAAGAUAAACUUCUGACAGGCAGGCAGUUUCACUGACAUGGAGACAGUGCUGCAAAAACAACCCGAUCUGACUCUUCUAGUAGAGGUAAUUGUGGCAACAUUCAAGGGGAGGUAAUAGAAAUCUGUGUCAAAAAAAUGACAAAACCUCAUCAAACUUGAAUUGCUGCAUUUCACAAAUACUGAAGAAUGAUUUAAAGGUUACAUACUGUUCAGUUAAGCUAAAGUUAAACUACUGUAUUUGCAUAUCAGCUUAUUAUUAGGUCAAUGUGAUCCUUUCCUGAAAAACAAGAUAAACCUGGUCUCCAAGAAAUAAACUUCAUAAUAAACAAUAAACAAACAACUGACUGCAACUUGUUAAAUUUUAUCACUGCUGGUGAUCAAAACCAAUUAGAAACCAAUUAGAAAGCAUGUAGUGGUGUGUGCACAUGCGACCGAGGAUGAUUAAACUUUUAUACGCUCCUCCUGUGCAGUGAGUAAUAGAAGCCGGGGCAGAGUAAAUGGCUUCAAUAUGUGAACAUUAUUUAUCCCCUCACUGGCUGCUGGCUACCUGUUAGCUGUUUCUAGAUAGACUUGCUGAU
Long non-coding RNA from Thunnus maccoyii (southern bluefin tuna), 1135 nucleotides. RefSeq lists it as uncharacterized. NCBI's taxonomy places the organism in Eukaryota, Metazoa, Chordata, Actinopteri, Scombriformes, Scombridae. The transcript has 3 exons. The record is from RefSeq and is a predicted model, not a curated record.